This is a long non-coding RNA of Calypte anna (Anna's hummingbird), 358 nucleotides long. RefSeq lists it as uncharacterized. NCBI's taxonomy places the organism in Eukaryota, Metazoa, Chordata, Aves, Apodiformes, Trochilidae. The transcript is spliced from 3 exons. The record is from RefSeq and is a predicted model, not a curated record.
AGCACUAUGCCUAAGGACCAAGGGAUGUAUCAUGGCCAAAGAAGAGCCCAACCCCUGUUCCCAGUGUGGAACCACAGGAUCUUCUUACCUUCCAGAGCAACGUAAGGCAAGCACCUUCCAUCAGCUGCAGACACCAGUGCUGGUAGUAGAAGAUGCCUGAGAAGGCGAGGCUGGAGCCCAGACACAGCAGCUCUCCAGGCGUGAUGGGUGGCGCGUCCAUGGUGCCAGGCUUGGGCAGAACACCUGCAAGGAAUGUCCCAAUACUGCCCCGGGGCCAAGCCUGCCCGUGAGUCUGGCUGGGCGCAGUUCAGCUCCAACGCACACAGGUGCUCCAGCCCUGGCCUGACUCAGCACUUUU